CAAUAAAUCACAAUGCGGAACAAUGUUUUGCAAUUGGAUUGAGAACAACGUACAAACCUUAUCGAUAAACAAUUGGAGGGCAAGUCUGGUGCCAGCAGCCGCGGUAAUUCCAGCUCCAAUAGCGUAUAUUAACGUUGUUGCAGUUAAAAAGCUCGUAGUUGAAAUGAAGGGUAGUUGUGUAAUGAAUACAUUCGUGUAUUUUGUUAUUCAAGUACCCUCCUUCUAAAUUCGAUAUAUGAGUAUUAAUUUACUUGUAUAUGGUUUUAGACGUUUACUGUGAGAAAAUUAGAGUGUUCAAAGCAGGCAUUUGCUUGAAUAUAUUAGCAUGGAAUAAUCAUGUAUGAUUUUCAUGAUGUAUUUGAUUGGUUUGGUUCAUGAGAAUAAGAUUAAAAGGGACAGUUGGGGGUAUUCAUAUUCAAUAGUCAGAGGUGAAAUUCUCGGAUUUAUGGAAGAUGA
This 456-nucleotide ribosomal RNA is filed under the name Blastocystis sp. Its description in RNAcentral is "SSU rRNA". It matches the Rfam family "Eukaryotic small subunit ribosomal RNA", at positions 471 to 938 of the family's 1831-position model. The record is from RNAcentral. Lineage: Eukaryota; Bigyra; Opalinata; Blastocystidae.